Molecule: transfer-messenger RNA, 368 nt
Filed under: Bacteroidia bacterium
Lineage: Bacteria; Pseudomonadati; Bacteroidota; Bacteroidia
Rfam family: transfer-messenger RNA
About the family: Bacterial tmRNA, also known as 10Sa RNA or SsrA, is named for its dual tRNA and mRNA-like properties. Its role is to liberate the mRNA from a stalled ribosome.
Source: RNAcentral
GGGGUCGUCACGGUUUUGACAGCAGGUGCGAUUUUUAUGUAAGCAUGCCGAGCGUUGUGAAUAUGGCUCGUAAAUAUCAACUCUCACUCGUCUAACUGGCGAAAACAAUUACGCGUUAGCUGCUUAGUUUUAGAAAUUAAGCACUUUCUACUUCCCGGGAAGCUCUUCUCUACUGCGUCCCGUUAAAGUAUCACAAAUGUUGAGAUAGUUUGGUCAGAAUCCCGAUGAUCAGGCGAAAUUAAGGGAAUAAGGUUGUGGUUGGUUUGACUUAUACCGGCCACUUCUCGAAAAUUAAAUAAGAGCUACGCAUGUAGAAAGCUUAUUAAUUCCUUGUUUGGACGAGGGUUCGAAUCCCUCCGACUCCACAG